CGAUCUUAAAAUAAAUCAAUAUUGAUUUUUUUAUAGAGCGUUAAAGUUUUGCAAAGCCAGGGGGCGGGACUACUUGAUUGACAGUCCGGUCUGGAAUGAUUGACAGGUCCUAUGGAGGAGGCAGCAGAGACUCUGCUCUCCUCGUUUGGAUUAAUUCUGAUAUAAUAACUGUUGGUUUAUUUAUCGGUGCAGCAGCAGAACAUUUUCCACAGACAGUUUUCCUGCCCGUUGGCUUGUUUUAACCAGUUUUCUGCCUUCGGCUGAUUCUACCAGCAGACACUGAAAGGACUCUGAUAGUUCGAGUGAAAGUAGCAGUUCCUCCUUAAGGUCAGAGAUUGCAGCAUCUGAGGGCCUCUUCAAAAGAAGAUGUAGUUGAUGAAGGCGUUCUGGAGCAGGACCAGAAAGACCACGACCAAGCAGCCUUGAGAUCUUAGGCAGCGUCUCCCUCAGCUUCAGCUCCAGUGACGGCAGGCAGGACGAGUCAACGGAGGCCGGGUGGAUGAAGGCAUGCAGCUGAGUACAAUCCAGAAAACAACAGAGGAGGAGUGC
Amphiprion ocellaris (clown anemonefish) is the source of this 549-nucleotide long non-coding RNA. The record is from Ensembl. NCBI's taxonomy places the organism in Eukaryota, Metazoa, Chordata, Actinopteri, Pomacentridae.